RNAcentral lists this ribosomal RNA (468 nucleotides) under uncultured bacterium. RNAcentral's name for it is "partial 16S ribosomal RNA". It matches the Rfam family "Bacterial small subunit ribosomal RNA", at positions 28 to 507 of the family's 1533-position model. The record is from RNAcentral.
GACGAACGCUGGCGGCGUGCUUAACACAUGCAAGUCGAACGGAAGGGCCCUGCUUUUGUGGGGUGCUCGAGUGGCGAACGGGUGAGUAACACGUGAGUAACCUGCCCUUGACUUUGGGAUAACUUCAGGAAACUGGGGCUAAUACCGGAUAGGAGCUCCUGCUGCAUGGUGGGGGUUGGAAAGUUUCGGCGGUUGGGGAUGGACUCGCGGCUUAUCAGCUUGUUGGUGGGGUAGUGGCUUACCAAGGCUUUGACGGGUAGCCGGCCUGAGAGGGUGACCGGCCACAUUGGGACUGAGAUACGGCGCAGACUCCUACGGGAGGCAGCGGUGGGGAAUAUUGCACAAUGGGCGGAAGCCUGAUGCAGCAACGCCGCGUGCGGGAUGACGGCCUUCGGGUUGUAAACCGCUUUCGCCUGUGACGAAGCGUGAGUGACGGUAAUGGGUAAAGAAGCACCGGCUAACUACGUG